UGUGUCUAAAAAUUACUUUUUGUAACUAAAUUCAGAAUUUGGCUACAUUGAAACUAAUGGUUUGGUCUGUUUGUGUUACCAUUGGGCCACAUAUGUACAAUAUCCAAUUUGCAUUGUAAUGUAAUUGAACCAUAAAAUUUUCAUCAGUACAAAUGUUGUAGAGAAGAAAUGUUCCCUCUCUUCCCUCUCUUCCUCUUCUCCCUAUUCGUCUUCUCUCUCUUCCCUCUCUUUCUCUUCUUUCUUCUCUCUUCCCUCUCUUCGUCUUCUCCCUAUUCGUCUUCCUCCUUCAUCUUCUUCUUCCUUCUCCAUCUCCUUCUUCAUUGUUAUUAUUGAGUUUCAGACAUGUUCGAUUUUGAUUUUGAUUUGGUGUUUGUUGUUUCAGGUUUGGUGGUGUUGACUCACGCGGAAGAGGGAAGCUUCGCCGACGGUGCGGUUAUCUGAACAUAAGGGUUUCAUUAUGAUCUCUGUGGCUAUGUAUUUGGAAAAUGACGGUAACAAUUUGAGAAGGGUUUCUGGAAAAUGAAGAAUGAAAAUCUUAGGGUUUCAUUGUUUGUUUCUCUGUGGCUGAUUUCGGGUGAACAAUGGUGUCUGAGGUAUGGGCAACUCAAAGUUUCAGUUUCCCGAUUUAAGGCAUGUCUGAGCUUGCCCUCCAUAUGUUUGAUGAAAAGCAGGAAUGACACAGUGGUUGUCGUUGCUGCGUUUCAUGGUCUGAGGUUUGAAAGACCCGGUCAGGUUUGAGAGCAGUAGAGCACGGGAUGAUAUCGAUAUUCGAAUUAAAAUCUGUUGCAGUGCGAAAAGGAUCAUUCAAACCAGAAUAAUACAUGAGUCACACUACCAUCGGCGACAAGGAACGAUAAGAAAUUUUCUACUGGAUUCUUAAAGGUUCAUGGAAGGUGAAGGUGAAAUCUUGUGAAGGUACAUAUUCGCUCUCUCUUUCAAUUCUCUUUGUCUCUACUCUAUGCGAGCAAACCGUCUGGAUGAAUCAGAAUUGUUGUGUGCAGAAUCGUUGUUGUUGAGCUGUUGGUCGGUGUAUCGAUCUUUUCAAAAAGUCACGGAAAGAUGAAUAAGUUUGUAUGAAGCUCUGUUUUUGCGAUUGUCGUGAACGGUGAUGUUGCAGGUUGCUAAUUAAUGUUAUUGAGAUAUUUGAAAGUUUAAUGAAGGUGAUGGAAGGGAGUUGAAGUCUACAAGUUUUUGAAAAAUGAAGGAAGAUGGUGAUAUGCGGACGUUAUUAUAGGUACUAACACAUCCUCCUUCCGUCACAUCACGACUGGAGUUAGUCCUCAUAAUAACUACUACCCUAUCAUCGAUUUUAUUUCUCUUCUAUACGUAAACCUCUCCUUCUUAGACCAUUGGGAUUAUCAGGAAUAUUUAACUAUUAUGAGAUGUGAAAAAUCUAUACAUCAUUUCGGCUAUAUGGGUAUUUCUUCAGAGAGCUGUGGCGGCAGUGAAAUUGAUGGCGAGGAAAAGCAAUAUUUGUAGAUUUAUUUUUUGCAUCAUGGUUUAUUAUUGGAAACAUAUGGAUAUUUGGAUCUCCAAACUUAUACCGGUUAUGUGUAGUGUUUCUUACUUUUAGCUGAAUAGAUUACGCAUUACCCUUCAUUCUAUGCUUAACAAUCUACUGCUGUCUUCCCUGUAUAAUUUCCACUCAUGGGGUCAAUGAGGAUAUGGCACAAACCAGAGGUGCAACCUUCAAAUGCAUUGAUGCUUUACCAACUCACAAGUCCAAAUUGAGGAAAAGAAAAAGCAUAGAUGAAAACACUCCAGCUGUUAUUGAAGGUGGAGUUGUUUCCGGAGGAACCGAAAAGGAAUGCGUGAUCUCCGGAGAAGAUGCAGUAAGUAUAAAGUGAUUUUUAAUUCUUCUCGAUCCUUGAGUAAAAAUCGUGCCAUUUAUGUUGUUCUUUCAAGACACAGAGCCAGGUAGAACCCUUUAUCUGACAGAAUCAUCAACGCCUUUGGUAAUAGUGAUCCACACCAUACUCUCAAGGAAGUUUCUAAGGCUUCAUUGUUGUUUGUUUACCUCGCUGUUGGGACCGGAAUCGUAUCUUUCCUACGAGAAAGACAAGUUGCGAGGAUUCGUAGUUUGUACUUGAAAACAAUAUUGAAACAGGAUAUUGCGUUUUUCGACACUGAAAUAAACACAGGAGAAGUAAUUGGUAGAAUGUCUGGUGAAACAAUUCUCAUUCAACAUGCAACGGGAGAAAAGAUUGGCAAGUUUACUCAACUUGCUACAUCAAAUUUUGGUGGCUUUGUGGUUGUUUUCAUAAAAGGAUGGAGACUAGCUUUAGUUUUGCUUGCAUGUGUUGACUAGAUUUCGUGUUUUUAUGGUGAAUAUCUUGGCCUCUUCCAUUUCAUUUUCAGUAUCAGCUUCUGUAGAAUGCCUUCAUUGAGGGAGAGGAUGUAUAUGUAAUAUUAUUAAGUUGUGUUGUGAUUGAAAUGGUUGGUUAAGAAGUGUUGAAAUCUAUAAUCUCUUCUUUAGUCAUCACUGGCAUGGGUAUAACUUUAUUAGUAUCAACUUUCCAAUCUUUACAGGGAUUGAUCUGUUCUUUGGCAUUGCCAGUAGCUUUAAAUGUGUAAUCUCUUCACUGUGUUUUGACUUUUAUGAAGGAAGAGGUACUAUAAAUGGAUGUUUGACUUUGCAUUCAAGUUUCUACUUUAACAUUUAUACUCAAAGCUUGGCAGUGGUGGAAAUGGCUGUAACAAAGGAUUGGGCUUGGUAGUGAUGGAAAUGGCUUUAACAAAGGAUUGGUUUAAGAAGAUCAGAAGAAUAAUAUCUUUAUUUUCUAACAGCAAAAAUAAAAAGAGAAUAUAUUAAAAUAAAAAAGAACUAUAAAUAAAUUAAAAUAAUAAAAAGAGCUUUUUUAUUUUAUCUUACAACUAUACUCAUUAUUAUUCUAAGACAAGACUUUAACAAAGACUGAUAUAUUUUAAGGGGGACUCAAAAUGAUGUAAAAAAGGGUACAUCCCACAAGGGAUUUCAUUUCUUCAUGUCUAACUUUUCUAUCCAAAAAAUCUUAAAUGUUUUCAAUUA
Long non-coding RNA from Vicia villosa (hairy vetch), 3028 nucleotides. RefSeq lists it as uncharacterized. NCBI's taxonomy places the organism in Eukaryota, Viridiplantae, Streptophyta, Magnoliopsida, Fabales, Fabaceae. The record is from RefSeq and is a predicted model, not a curated record. The transcript has 8 exons.